GUUGUGGCUCUGUUCAUCACACAACACGUGCAUCUUCGGUGAUUAGCUACAAGCAAAAUCAAGAAAGAGAGAGAGAGAGAGAGAGAGAGACUCUUCGUCUUGCUAGGAAAAUGAAGAGCAAUUUCUCCCAUCUUGUUCUUUUCUUCUUCUGUGUGGCAUCUCUGCUUACCUCGCCAUCACUAGCUAUACGUCAAGGGGCCUUUCAAGCUGUGAGCUACAAGAACCUUGUAGGCAGCUACCACCAACUUACCAAGAGACCAUCUUUUUCUCAGAGUGGUGGUUACAGAAAUCUGUUCCGCCAGUUGAUUUCCCUGGACUAUGACCCUACUAUUGGUGCCCCACCUCAAAUACAUUCUGUUCCCAGCCAGCAUGAACGUACAGGAAACCAUUUCUAAAUUAAUCACCAAAACAGUUCAGAAAACCUGAAUUUUCCGAGGCGUCUUCCCAGUUAGUUGAUUUCAAUGUGACUCUCAAUAUCUUCUACAUGAGGAAUUUGAUUAAUUAGUAAUCUAUUUAUAUUUAGGAACCAAAAGGUCUCGGUAACGACGACCUGGUUCAAGAUUAUUAUCAUUAGUUAGAAAAUUAUAUAAGAAACCUUCGUCGCUGCAGGAGUUCUUAGCAGUUUUGCAGCCAAGAGAAAUUUAAGAUAUAUGUAUGCAGCACCUUCUGUUAAAUUAUUGUAAUUUGUACCGGCCAAUAGAGGUACUUGUUUUGAGCAGAAAAAUUAAUACUGCAUACCAUAUGUAACAGGAAUAUAUUGAUUAAUAAGUGCUAUUUUUUUUAUAA
Long non-coding RNA from Oryza sativa Japonica Group (Japanese rice), 786 nucleotides. RefSeq lists it as uncharacterized. NCBI's taxonomy places the organism in Eukaryota, Viridiplantae, Streptophyta, Magnoliopsida, Poales, Poaceae. The record is from RefSeq and is a predicted model, not a curated record.